UCAGAUUUCCCAGGGAUACCAUUUCUUGUUGUCAUUGUUGGAUUUACUCUUAUCAAUUGUGCAGGUGGGGAGGUAUAGAAUUCCCUCUACCUUUUGGAAGAGUACUCAGCCCUACAGAAAGUUUCAUCCAUGAACUAGAUGAGAAGGGAGUUUUCCGUAGCGCCGACAUGUGAACGAUUUAUAUAGGGACGUCCCUACUACUGCUUUAACACUUCUGGACUAUCUACUUGCGGUGUUUGUCAAUUGAGAUAAUCUUGGGAAAGAGUGACAAAUUCGACGAGUUGAUGGUUGCUGCCACCGA
Molecule: long non-coding RNA, 301 nt
Organism: Zea mays
Lineage: Eukaryota; Viridiplantae; Streptophyta; Magnoliopsida; Poales; Poaceae
Exons: 3
Source: RefSeq, a predicted model, not a curated record